RNAcentral lists this ribosomal RNA (253 nucleotides) under uncultured bacterium. RNAcentral's name for it is "partial 16S ribosomal RNA". It matches the Rfam family "Bacterial small subunit ribosomal RNA", at positions 524 to 776 of the family's 1533-position model. The record is from RNAcentral.
UACGUAGUAUGCAAGCGUUGUCCGGAUUUAUUGGGUUUAAAGGGUGCGUAGGCGGCCUAUUAAGUUAGUGGUGAAAACGUUCGGCUUAACCGGAUACCCGCCAUUGAUACUGAUAGACUUGAGUGCGACAGAGGGUGUUGGAAUGUGUGGUGUAGCGGUGAGAUGCUUAGAUAUCACGCAGAACACCAAUUGCGAAGGCAGAUGCCUAUGUCGUAACUGGCGCUGAGGCACGAAAGCGUGGGGAGCAAACAGG